UGUCAGGCACUGUGCAAUGUGCCAUUACCCAACCCCGUCAGGCCCGGAAGGGAGCAGCGGUAAGUAACUGGUAUGUGUGCCGCAGUUCGCUUGACUUCU
Molecule: signal recognition particle RNA, 99 nt
Filed under: Salinispira pacifica
Lineage: Bacteria; Pseudomonadati; Spirochaetota; Spirochaetia; Spirochaetales; Spirochaetaceae
Description: Bacterial small signal recognition particle RNA
Rfam family: Bacterial small signal recognition particle RNA
About the family: The signal recognition particle (SRP) is a universally conserved ribonucleoprotein involved in the co-translational targeting of proteins to membranes. Archaeal SRP consists of a 7S RNA and homologues of the eukaryotic SRP19 and SRP54 proteins.
Source: Rfam by way of RNAcentral